Molecule: ribosomal RNA, 505 nt
Filed under: Gobius cobitis (giant goby)
Lineage: Eukaryota; Metazoa; Chordata; Actinopteri; Gobiiformes; Gobiidae
Description: partial 16S ribosomal RNA
Rfam family: Bacterial large subunit ribosomal RNA
Source: RNAcentral
GUAUUUUGACCGUGCGAAGGUAGCGUAAUCACUUGUCUUUUAAAUAGAGACCUGUAUGAAUGGCAUAACGAGGGCUGUCCUGUCUCCUUUCUCCCGUCAAUGAAAUUGAUCUGCUCGUGCAGAAGCGAGUAUUAGCACAUAAGACGAGAAGACCCUAUGGAGCUUUAGACACCAAAGCAGCCCCCGUUAAACCCCCUUAACCAACAGGACAAAACCAAGGGGCCCCUGCUUUUUUGUCUUUGGUUGGGGCGACCGCGGAGAAAAACAAAACCCCCGCGUGGAACAGGACAACUCCUUGACGCAAGGCCCACACGCCUAGUAUGCAGAAAAUCUGUCCAAAAGAUCCGGCAAUGCCGAUCAACGAACCCAGUUACCCUAGGGAUAACAGCGCAAUCCCCUUUUAGAGCCCACAUCGACAAGGGGGUUUACGACCUCGAUGUUGGAUCAGGACCUCCUAAUGGUGCAGCCGCUAUUUAGGGUUCGUUUGUUCAACGAUUAAAGUCCU